CAAAAACCAAUAGAGAGCAUUCACAUUAUUACAUAUCAUGUUAUGCGGCAAAAAGGCACAAAAACUAGUAUAUAUAUAGAAGAGAGAUUAAACAUGCAUAGAAACGAAAAUUCAUUCUAGUUAUUAUCAUGGUUGAUUCCUUUGCUCGGCCCGGAUGGAGGGACUAUAUCCUCAGGAAGCAUGGCUUUCACUGGUAGCUCAUACACCAUUCCCACCUCGAUCUUGUCAACCUUAAAAUCUGUCUUCUCAUUCAAUGGCCUGCCUAAGGAAAGUUCGCAGAUCAUUAAACAAAUGAAAAAGAGUGUGACGAAUUGAUAAAGCCUGUUUUGUUUGUCCAUUUGAUGUAUUUGAAAGAUCUUGAAAUGGUGUUUUGGGAGAGAAUUCGAAAUCCGAAAAAGGGUCUGCGGUUUCUGGGCAAGAAAGUGAAAGAAAUUAGUGGAA
This 441-nucleotide long non-coding RNA is filed under the name Olea europaea (common olive). RNAcentral's name for it is "long non-coding RNA (OEUR_LNC010476)". Lineage: Eukaryota; Viridiplantae; Streptophyta; Magnoliopsida; Lamiales; Oleaceae. The record is from RNAcentral.